GGUUAGAUAUUUUAAAUAAAAAAAUAGGAUUUGCAAUUCUAAAAUGAGAUAUCUCUCUUACCA
RNAcentral lists this transfer RNA (63 nucleotides) under Siphonodentalium lobatum. RNAcentral's name for it is "tRNA-Ala". The record is from RNAcentral. Lineage: Eukaryota; Metazoa; Mollusca; Scaphopoda; Gadilida; Siphonodentaliidae.